This 67-nucleotide transfer RNA is filed under the name Algyroides marchi. Its description in RNAcentral is "tRNA-Ser". Lineage: Eukaryota; Metazoa; Chordata; Lepidosauria; Squamata; Lacertidae. The record is from RNAcentral.
AAGAGGUGUAUAAACAACUAGAGCUGCUAACUCUAACGACUAAGAAUAAAAUCCUUAGGCCUCUUAC